AGAGUUUGAUCAUGGCUCAGGAUGAACGCUGGCGGCGUGCUUAACACAUGCAAGUCGAACGGAGUGCUCAUGACGGAGGAUUCGUCCAACGGAUUGAGUUACUUAGUGGCGGACGGGUGAGUAACGCGUGAGGAACCUGCCUCGGAGUGGGGAAUAACAGCCCGAAAGGGUUGCUAAUACCGCAUAAGCGCACGGGGACGCAUGUUUCUGUGUGAAAAACUUCGGUGGUGUGAGAUGGACCCGCGUCUGAUUAGGUAGUUGGUGAGGUAACGGCUCACCAAGCCGACGAUCAGUAGCCGACCUGAGAGGGUGACCGG
Molecule: ribosomal RNA, 317 nt
Filed under: uncultured bacterium
Lineage: Bacteria
Description: bacterial SSU rRNA
Rfam family: Bacterial small subunit ribosomal RNA
Source: RNAcentral